This 1721-nucleotide long non-coding RNA is filed under the name Mus musculus (house mouse). RNAcentral describes it as "long non-coding RNA chr2:52902538-52904259". Lineage: Eukaryota; Metazoa; Chordata; Mammalia; Rodentia; Muridae. The record is from RNAcentral.
UUGUGUUUUGAUUUUUUCAUCAGAUCUGGGUGCUAGUUAUCGACUUUGAUUUUCUGGCUCAUUAGCCCUUUCCGUUUCCCCUGUAGGACUGUCUGCAUUCUCCCUUCACCGUCUGUUUUAUUUACUAUUCUUGUGCUUGGAGCCAAAGGUCUUACAGAUUUGUUUUUUAUUAACCUGGAUAACCUCAGAAACAAGUUACCAUAAGUCACUGAUUUUCCUCAUUCCUCCUUCUGAGUAAUUAUUCAGUACAGUCUGAUUAAAUAGUAGUAAGAUGAAGCAGAUCUUGCCUUGAGAAUGUAUAUAUAUGUCCCUUCAGCCAUCGGUCAGGGAGAACCUUGGCUGCUCUUGAAGUCUGAGGAGCUGACUCAGUUUUUCCUCUUUCCUUCUGCAUUCUCCUUGAUGGGAUAAAGGGUCAAGAGGGAGGAAUGGGUCAGAGAUACUCCAUGAAGAAAUGUGGUUUGUCAUGUGGUUGAGUCCUUCCUGGAAAGUAGGAGUGGGCUCUUCACUGCUUGCAGGUGGUAGAUAAGUGUUUGUUAUAGAUUAAAAGGUCUGGGUUAACACAGAGAAGUGUGGUCUUCACUCCUCUUCAAGGAAACUUCUCUAACAGAUGGAGAACAUUACAGAGUCAAUCAAUAUGUGGAGCCCAGUUCCAGUGGAGACAUGUAUAGAACACUCCUAUACCAAGGCUCAGAAAAUGGGUGUGUGGGGUGUGUGUGUGUGUGUGUGUGUGCAGAAGGAGUCUAAGAGCCAGAAGAUCAAGAAGUUUGCUGUAAGGUUAUAUCUUCUAGUAACAUCAUAAGCUAUAUCCAUAAAGGACCACUCAACAUGUGAGCUAAGCAAGGAUGACGCCAGUGAGCAUGCCAAACUGGGCGGGGAAGAACAUACGGAUUCGUGGUCCAGGGCCAAAACAUACCACAAGUAACGUUAUACAGACUUGGCUGGUUAUAUUUGGAAUAUAUGCAAAUACACAGAUCUGUAUAGUAACACUUAUGGAAAAAAGAGACUAUGAUUUUGAAGGAGAGUGGAAAGGGGGUAUAUGGGAAGGUGUGGAAGGAGGAAAGGGAAAAGUGUUGUAAUUAAAUUAUAUUCUUAAAAGAAUUGAAGAAAAAAGGUGUGUUGAACCCUAAAAUCCUGAGCUCUGCAGUCUGUGUUGUUGGACGUGCAGAUAUUCUGCUCUAACAACCCACACUGUGCCUGAGAGUGGUUUAUCUUGUUCUUGCUGGAUGAGCUGCCCCUCCUAGACACGUUUGUAAUGAGAGGUACUAGCCCAUGCUCUUGCUUUGUAGUAGGGCUUUGAUAGAUGUUUGUUAAGUUUAAUUGCUUGAGGGCUUCGGAGGUAGUGAGGUAGGGUUGUAUUGAGCCUCCUUUGGUGUAGUGGAGAGCUACUGUUUGCUUCCAGAAUACAAAGUUUUUAUUUCUUCUAGAAAAUUUCAUGGAAGUAUAAAAGAGAUUUAUGAAACACACCUAUGGGAGGAAGAUUGUGACUUACAAAAGGCAACCUGAGUUUUCUCUUUUUAUCACAUUCAGUAGCUGAAACUUGGGCUUUAAACUCCGUGGGGUUACUUUAACAUUGUUUAAUGGAAGCCAUCAAGUGGAGACAUGGUUAACAGAGCAGUAUGCCACAUAACUAAAACUGUUCCAUUGCUCUGGGAAGGAGUGUGGUGUAACUCAGGAAGGACAUGGGGUUCAGUCUCAGUUUCCCCUCCCCCCAGGCCCCUACC